GAUGAAGAACGCAGUGAAAUGCGAUAAUUAAUGUGAAUUGCAGAUUUCAGUGAAUCAUCGAGUUUUUGAACGCACAUUGCGCCCCCUGGUAUUCCUAGGGGCAUGCCUAUUCGAGCGUCGUUUGGUCUCUCAAGCCUGGCUUGGUGUUGGGGCACGCCCUCUUACGAGCGGCGGCCCUCGAAAUCAUCGGCGGUGCCGGUGCGGCCUGGAAGCGCAGCAAAAUGCGAAGCCUACCCACUGAUACCCGCCGGAUCAAACGUCUUCGGACACGUUUUUACAAAAAGACCUCGAAUUAGGUAGGGAUACCCGCUGAACUUAAGCAUAUCAAUAAGCGGAGGA
RNAcentral lists this unclassified non-coding RNA (339 nucleotides) under soil metagenome. Its description in RNAcentral is "partial contains 5.8S ribosomal RNA, internal transcribed spacer 2, and large subunit ribosomal RNA". The stretch from base 1 to 120 matches the Rfam family "5.8S ribosomal RNA", at positions 35 to 154 of the family's 154-position model. The record is from RNAcentral.